This 30-nucleotide non-coding RNA is filed under the name Rattus norvegicus (Norway rat). Lineage: Eukaryota; Metazoa; Chordata; Mammalia; Rodentia; Muridae. The record is from RNAcentral.
UGACAGCACUGGUCCUUGGGGACUCCUGGA